RNAcentral lists this ribosomal RNA (320 nucleotides) under Nematoda environmental sample. RNAcentral's name for it is "SSU rRNA". It matches the Rfam family "Eukaryotic small subunit ribosomal RNA", at positions 1300 to 1645 of the family's 1831-position model. The record is from RNAcentral. Lineage: Eukaryota; Metazoa; Nematoda.
CGUGGAUCGAUUUGUCUGGUUUAUUCCGAUAACGAGCGAGACUCCAGCCUACUAACUAGUACGAGCAUUGCCUCUGUGCUCGGCACUUCUUAGAGGGAUUGACUGCGUCUAGCGGUACGAAACGGAGCAAUAACAGGUCUGUGAUGCCCUUAGAUGUCCGGGGCUGCACGCGCGCUACACUGGCAAAGGCAACGUGCUUGUCCGUCUCCGAAAGGAGCCGGUAAACCCUUGAAAAUUUGCCGUGAUUGGGAUCGGAAAUUGCAAUUAUUUUCCGUGAACGAGGAAUUCCUAGUAAGUGCGAGUCAUCAGCUCGCGUUGAU